Long non-coding RNA from Oncorhynchus masou masou (cherry salmon), 557 nucleotides. RefSeq lists it as uncharacterized. Lineage: Eukaryota; Metazoa; Chordata; Actinopteri; Salmoniformes; Salmonidae. The transcript is spliced from 3 exons. The record is from RefSeq and is a predicted model, not a curated record.
UCCAUAGAUUAGGGUCUAAUUUAUUUAUUUAAAUUGACUGAUUUUAUUAUGAACUGUAAAUCAGUAAAAUCAUUGAAAUUGUUGCGUUUAUAUUUUUGUUCAGUACAGUAGGCUAAUUCCCCAGCCAAGCAGAUACAACUGGUAGUCGUUUUUGUUGUGAAGUGCAUUAGCAAAAAGCUUGGUCCUUUCUUUAGAACAAAAUGCAAUUUACCACUUGACUGUAUUAUAUCACCCUGUCACAGGCCCUCCCAGUCAACACCACCUUGUAAGAUGGCCUGCUGCAGUUGUUCCGUUUGCAGCCGAACAUGCAUCAUAGAGAAGACCAGCAAGAGAGCCCUCAUCAGCGUCAUUCAGACAUGCCCUCGCUAUGGAGAGGACUGUAUAUAUUUUUGCAGAUGCCAGUCUUGGUUGUUUGAUAGGGAGACCAUAAUUGGAAACACAUAUAGAGCCAGCAUGUGGAGACUUGCACGAUGAUUUGAUGAAGUCCACGCUGACAGACGGGCUGACGGCUCUGAAUGGCGAGAGACCUGGCACUCGGCAUAAAUGUUUUACUUGUC